CCCUAUGGGGUGCGGCAAGAGCGCUUGUGCCAAUGUUUUGGGGUGCGCGACACCCUCAAAGAGCCCCGUCAUCCUUGGCAAAAAGUCCAUUUGUCCAGCCAAGUAUUCCCCCGCGGAAGUUCGGGUCGCUACAUCCAGGUGCGCUCUUGUAGGUUUUAUAUCCAGGGCUGCCACACUGCGCUUCAAAUGCGCAGCACGGUAGUUAUGCGGCCCGCUCCAGCCCAUUCCUGCCACCGUGGGCAUUCCUUUGGGUAUCAUGUCCAGGCGCAAAAGCACCUGCGGGUAAAAUUCCCCAAAGGGCUUAAAUGUUUCGCCCCACCAAGCCCCAAACCACGGCAAAAUCUGUGGGUUGAUACUUCCUUUCAGUAUGUAGUCGGCAUGGCGGGGGAGC
RNAcentral lists this ribosomal RNA (391 nucleotides) under uncultured prokaryote. Its description in RNAcentral is "partial 16S ribosomal RNA". The record is from RNAcentral.